AGAAUCAACGCUGGCGGCGUGCCUAACACAUGCAAGUCGCACGAGAAAGGGGAGCAAUCCCUGAGUACAGUGGCGCACGGGUGAGUAACACGUGAAUAAUCUACCUCCGAGUGGGGAAUAACUGAGAGAAAUCUUAGCUAAUACCGCAUAAUACCCACGGGUCAAAGCAGUAAUGCGCUUGGAGAGGAGUUCGCGGCAGAUUAGUUAGUUGGCGGGGUAAUGGCCCACCAAGACGAUGAUCUGUAUCCGGCCUGAGAGGGCGCACGGACACACUGGAACUGAAACACGGUCCAGACUCCUACGGGAGGCAGCAGUGGGGAAUUUUGCGCAAUGGGGGAAACCCUGACGCAGCAACGCCGCGUGGAGGAUGAAGCCCCUUGGGGUGUAAACUCCUUUCGAUCGGGAAGAUAAUGACGGUACCGAUAUAAGAAGCCCCGGCUAACUUCGUGCCAGCAGCCGC
Molecule: ribosomal RNA, 460 nt
Filed under: uncultured bacterium
Lineage: Bacteria
Description: SSU rRNA
Rfam family: Bacterial small subunit ribosomal RNA
Source: RNAcentral